GACAGUUUACUGGUCACCUGCACUAACAGCCUGAGAGAAAAGGACACUGCAUAUCACAGAGAGAUGCAUAGAUGUUACACUCAGAAAGAGAGUGAACAACUAGAAGAUGUGGAAGAAAAUUCCAAGGGCCAAUUUUGAAACAAACCAGGCAGAGACCCAGAUGCAGAAUCCUGCAGGCUGAGGGAUGUUAGGAAGAGUUAGCCCACCACUGCUGCGCUGAAACCAGGAUGACGCAAACUGGGCCUCAGGCCAGUAGAUCAAUAAACCAAACUCCCUGUCACCUCAGACUCUGCACCUGUUAAAGCCCUGUAAAGAGCCGACAUGUAAGGACUUAUACUGACUGGAUACAGAGAAUAUGGAGCAAAUCAAACGUAUUUAAAUAGUAAAUUAUCAUAUUGUUAUAAAUAAAAAUUUACAUUGCAUUUCCUUUUAGAAUGUUACUUGGAUAUAUAUUCUUCAACAUUUACAAAUGCUGAUGCUUCAUGUACUUAAAAACGGAAUAAUUUUUUU
This 510-nucleotide long non-coding RNA is filed under the name Homo sapiens (human). Its description in RNAcentral is "HSALNT0293174". The record is from RNAcentral. Lineage: Eukaryota; Metazoa; Chordata; Mammalia; Primates; Hominidae.